This 492-nucleotide ribosomal RNA is filed under the name uncultured bacterium. Its description in RNAcentral is "partial 16S ribosomal RNA". It matches the Rfam family "Bacterial small subunit ribosomal RNA", at positions 29 to 507 of the family's 1533-position model. The record is from RNAcentral.
AGUGAACGCUGGCGGUAGGCCUAACACAUGCAAGUCGAACGGCAGCACAGUAAGAGCUUGCUCUUACGGGUGGCGAGUGGCGGACGGGUGAGGAAUACAUCGGAAUCUACUUUUUCGUGGGGGAUAACGUAGGGAAACUUACGCUAAUACCGCAUACGACCUACGGGUGAAAGCAGGGGAUCUUCGGACCUUGCGCGAUUGAAUGAGCCGAUGUCGGAUUAGCUAGUUGGCGGGGGAAAGGCCCACCAAGGCGACGAUCCGUAGCUGGUCUGAGAGGAUGGUCAGCCACACUAGAACUGAGACACGGUCCAGACUCCUACGGGAGGCAGCAGUGGGGAAUAUUGGACAAUGGGCGCAAGCCUGAUCCAGCCAUACCGCGUGGGUGAAGAAGGCCUUCGGGUUGUAAAGCCCUUUUGUUGGGAAAGAAAAGCAGCAGGUUAAUACCCCGCUGUUCUGACGGUACCCAAAGAAUAAGCACCGGCUAACUUCGUG